AGACCUUCAUAUGCGACUAAAGUC
This 24-nucleotide non-coding RNA is filed under the name Arabidopsis thaliana (thale cress). Lineage: Eukaryota; Viridiplantae; Streptophyta; Magnoliopsida; Brassicales; Brassicaceae. The record is from RNAcentral.